AUGCUCAUUGCUCAGACUGAGGACAAGAUUAGGUUGCUGUGCCAAGAUGAUGGCAUAUCAGUGAUGACAUACGUGGCAGAACUGCAGGCUUUGUGGGCUGACCAGGAUAACUGUGAUCCCCUGGAACUCUAUGACGCGGCUUCAAUCGAGUCAGGGCACAAGUGGAUGGCACGCAGGCGUGUGCUGAAAUUUUUGGCUGGCCUCAAAAGUCUUUGA
This 216-nucleotide ribosomal RNA is filed under the name Triticum aestivum (bread wheat). Its description in RNAcentral is "partial small subunit ribosomal RNA". The record is from RNAcentral. Lineage: Eukaryota; Viridiplantae; Streptophyta; Magnoliopsida; Poales; Poaceae.